UGGGGAAUUUUGGACAAUGGGGGAAACCCUGAUCCAGCCAUCCCGCGUGUGCGAUGAAGGCCUUCGGGUUGUAAAGCACUUUUGGCAGGAAAGAAACGUCAUGGGUUAAUACCCCGUGAAACUGACGGUACCUGCAGAAUAAGCACCGGCUAACUACGUGCCAGCAGCCGCGGUAAUACGUAGGGUGCAAGCGUUAAUCGGAAUUACUGGGUGUAAAGCGUGCGCAGGCGGUUCGGAAAGAAAGAAGUGAAAUCACAGAGCUCAACUUUGGAACUGCAUUUAUAACUACCGGGCUAGGGUGUGUCAGAGGGAGGUGGAAUUCCGCGUGUAGCAGUGAAAUGCGUAGAUAUGCGGAGGAACACCGAUGGCGAAGGCAGCCUCCUGGGAUAACACUGACGCUCAUGCACGAAAGCGUGGGGAGCAAACAGG
This 429-nucleotide ribosomal RNA is filed under the name Acidobacteriota bacterium. RNAcentral describes it as "Acidobacteria bacterium partial 16S ribosomal RNA". It matches the Rfam family "Bacterial small subunit ribosomal RNA", at positions 355 to 776 of the family's 1533-position model. Lineage: Bacteria; Pseudomonadati; Acidobacteriota. The record is from RNAcentral.